Molecule: ribosomal RNA, 496 nt
Filed under: uncultured bacterium
Lineage: Bacteria
Description: partial 16S ribosomal RNA
Rfam family: Bacterial small subunit ribosomal RNA
Source: RNAcentral
AUGAACGCUGGCGGCGUGCCUAAUACCUGCCAGUCGAGCGAACAGACGAGGAGCUUGCUCCUCUAACGUUAGCGGCGGACGGGUGAGUAACACGUGGAUAACCUACCUAUAAGACUGGGAUAACUUCGGGAAACCGGAGCUAAUACCGGAUAAUAUAUUGAACCGCAUGGUUCAAUAGUGAAAGACGGUUUUGCUGUCACUUAUAGAUGGAUCCGCGCCGCAUUAGCUAGUUGGUAAGGUAACAGCUUACCAAGGCAACGAUGCGUAGCCGACCUGAGAGGGUGAUCGGCCACACUGGAACUGAGACACGGUCCAGACUCCUACGGGAGGCAGCAGUAGGGAAUCUUCCGCAAUGGGCGAAAGCCUGACGGAGCAACGCCGCGUGAGUGAUGAAGGUCUUCGGAUCGUAAAACUCUGUUAUUAGGGAAGAACAAAUGUGUAAGUAACUAUGCACGUCUUGACGGUACCUAAUCAGAAAGCCACGGCUAACUACGUG